This is a small nuclear RNA of Vanessa tameamea, 80 nucleotides long. NCBI's taxonomy places the organism in Eukaryota, Metazoa, Arthropoda, Insecta, Lepidoptera, Nymphalidae. The record is from RefSeq and is a predicted model, not a curated record.
GUCUUUAUUGAAAAGAGGGACGGUUAACACUUUUCUUGACAAGGAUGAAGCACAAAAUAAAUUAUAAACGCUUAAUUUUU